UAAAAUCUGUUUUCCCAGGGUUGACAAUUGUUGAUUUUCUUUGUCCUUCAAAGUAGGUCCAUUGUGUCUGGCUCUUCGUAAAUGAAGUGACUUUGGAGUGGAUUUGGGGCAUUAUGAAUAUUAUCUUGUGCAUGACUCGUUGCACUGUGCACUGCGUAUUACAGAAGAAGAAAGCUGAGGGAAGGACGCUGAACAAGAAUGGUGUAAGAAUCUACAUGUCAUUUUAAAAAGGUCCUGAGAACUGAUGAGACACACAGCAUUAUCAAGGCAUUACCUUGAUAACUACUUCAUUCAGAGAAUAAGGCCAUCAGCAGUUCCAUUGCCAGGUUUACCAGCUCCUUUUUGAUGCUCACUGAUUAGAUUUUGAAUGCAUUUAGAAACAAAAAAACUCUCUGGCACAAAAACAGACACAUAGACCAAUGGAAUAGAAUAGAAACCCCAGAACUAGACCCACAAACGUAUG
Molecule: long non-coding RNA, 463 nt
Organism: Prionailurus viverrinus (fishing cat)
Lineage: Eukaryota; Metazoa; Chordata; Mammalia; Carnivora; Felidae
Exons: 4
Source: RefSeq, a predicted model, not a curated record